This 306-nucleotide ribosomal RNA is filed under the name Nephroselmis pyriformis. RNAcentral's name for it is "partial Bacterial large subunit ribosomal RNA". It matches the Rfam family "Bacterial large subunit ribosomal RNA", at positions 190 to 546 of the family's 2925-position model. The record is from RNAcentral. Lineage: Eukaryota; Viridiplantae; Chlorophyta; Nephroselmidophyceae; Nephroselmidales; Nephroselmidaceae.
GAACUGAAACAUCUAAGUACCCGGAGGAAAGGACAUCAAUUGAGACUCCGUUAGUAGUGGCGAGCGAACGCGGACCAGGCCAGUGCUCUUAUCAAUGGAACUCGAACCGUCUGGAAAGUCGGGCCGUAGUGGGUGACAGCCCCUUAGAGGUAGCAAAGAUAAGAGACUCGAGUAGGGCGGGACACGUGAAAUCCUGUCUGAACAUGGGGGGACCAUCCUCCAAGCCUAAGUACUCCUACAUGACCGAUAGUGAACCAGUACCGUGAGGGAAAGGUGAAAAGCACCCCGACGAGGGGAGUGAAACAG